UCCUGGUGGCGAGUGGCGAACGGGUGAGUAAUAUAUCGGAACGUACCUUUCAGUGGGGGAUAACGUAGCGAAAGUUACGCUAAUACCGCAUAUUCUGUGAGCAGGAAAGCAGGGGAUCGCAAGACCUUGCGCUGAUUGAGCGGCCGAUAUCAGAUUAGCUAGUUGGUGAGGUAAAGGCUCACCAAGGCGACGAUCUGUAGCGGGUCUGAGAGGAUGAUCCGCCACACUGGAACUGAGACACGGUCCAGACUACGGGAGGCAGCAGUGGGGAAUUUUGGACAAUGGGGGCAACCCUGAUCCAGCCAUGCCGCGUGAGUGAAGAAGGCCUUCGGGUCGUAAAGCUCUUUCAGCCGGGAAGAAAACGCAUGGGUUAAUACCCUGUGUGGAUGACGGUACCGGAAUAAGAAGCACCGGCUAACUACGUGCCAGCAGCCGCGGUAAUACGUAGGGUGCGAGCGUUAAUCGGAAUUACUGGGCGUAAAGCGUGCGCAGGCGGUUUGUUAAGAUAGGCGUGAAAUCCCCGGGCUCAACCUGGGAACUGCGUUUAUGACUGGCAGGCUAGAGUAUGGCAGAGGGGGGUGGAAUCCCACGUGUAGCAGUGAAAUGCGUAGAGAUGUGGAGGAACACCGAUGGCGAAGGCAGCCCCCUGGGCCAAUACUGACGCUCAUGCACGAAAGCGUGGGUAGCAAACAGGAUUAGAUACCCUGGUAGUCCACGCCCUAAACGAUGUCAACUAGGUGUUGGGUGGGUAAAACCAUUUAGUACCGGAGCUAACGCGUGAAGUUGACCGCCUGGGGAGUACGGCCGCAAGGUUAAAACUCAAAGGAAUUGACGGGGACCCGCACAAGCGGUGGAUGAUGUGGAUUAAUUCGAUGCAACGCGAAAAACCUACCUACCCUUGACAUGUCCGGAAGCCCUUAGAGAUUUGGGUGUGCUCGAAAGAGAGCCGGAACACAGGUGCUGCAUGGCUGUCGUCAGCUCGUGUCGUGAGAUGUUGGGUUAAGUCCCGCAACGAGCGCAACCCUUGUCGUUAAUUGCCAUCAUUUAGUUGGGCACUUUAACGAGACUGCCGGUGACAAACCGGAGGAAGGUGGGGAUGACGUCAAGUCCUCAUGGCCCUUAUGGGUAGGGCUUCACACGUCAUACAAUGGUCGGUACAAAGGGUCGCCAACCCGCGAGGGGGAGCCAAUCCCAGAAAGCCGAUCGUAGUCCGGAUCGUAGGCUGCAACUCGCCUGCGUGAAGUCGGAAUCGCUAGUAAUCGUGGAUCAGCAUGUCACGGUGAAUACGUUCCCGGGUCUUGUACACACCGCCCGUCACACCAUGGGAGCGGGUUCCGCCAGAAGUAGGUAGCCUAACCGCAAGGGGGGCGCUUACCACGGCGGGGUUCGUGACUGGGGUGAAGUCGUAACAAGGUA
Molecule: ribosomal RNA, 1416 nt
Filed under: metagenome
Description: bacterial SSU rRNA
Rfam family: Bacterial small subunit ribosomal RNA
Source: RNAcentral